RNAcentral lists this ribosomal RNA (375 nucleotides) under uncultured bacterium. RNAcentral describes it as "bacterial SSU rRNA". It matches the Rfam family "Bacterial small subunit ribosomal RNA", at positions 523 to 898 of the family's 1533-position model. The record is from RNAcentral.
AUACGUAGGGGGCGAGCGUUGUCCGGAAUUACUGGGCGUAAAGGGUGCGUAGGCGGAUAUGCAAGUCCGAUGUGAAAUGUUACGGCUUAACCGUGGAGUUGCAUUGGAAACUGUGUAUCUAGAGUACAGGAGAGGGAAGCGGAAUUCCUAGUGUAGCGGUGAAAUGCGUAGAUAUUAGGAGGAACACCAGUGGCGAAGGCGGCUUCCUGGACUGACACUGACGCUGAGGCACGAAAGCUGGGGCAGCGAACAGGAGUAGAUACCCUGGUAGUCCCAGCCGUAAACGAUGGGUACUAGGUGUUGUGACUUCAUUGUGGCAGUGCCGGAGUUAACGCAAUAAGUACCCCGCCUGGGGAGUACGGCCGCAAGGCUGAA